GCUCCGCCCAAGUGACCGUCAUCUGUGAUCGGGUACUGCGCUCAUUGGCCGUGGUGUUGUUCCAGAUUGUGAACACCCUAUGGUAGCAAUUGCGUCACACCUGGAGGCGAAGAGGGUCGGAAACGACCUGUCCGUGGCGGCCAGCUUCCACACGAUCCACCGGUAGUGGUUGGGCACCCACUUCUCCGAUGGCAGCAAGGAAGGGUCCACGCCAGGACUCGACAGGAACGCCCGGGUGACCUCCUCCACGCCGGCGAACCCCGCAGAGUCCAGGAUUAGCAGCGCGCCGUCACCCACUGCGAUGCCAGCGACAUUGCUCCGGCACACGUCCGGGCUGGAACACGACCCCCUCUCGUCACCGUGGCCGGCUUUGCUGGAGUCGGCUUCUGCGAUUACUAGGUUUUUUGAAUUCAAAUAAAAUUUUGAAUUGAUUAUCAAUUAUUUUUCGAAAAAAAUAAUUUUAACAUACAGUAAAGCUUUUUGUUUCCACACUUCACACGAGUCGAAGAAAAAUUGAUUCAAAAUACAGUAAAGAGAGAAAUGUAUAUGGAUCCAUAAAUUAAAUAAAUUAAAAAGCCUGGCAAUUAAUUUUCU
This is a long non-coding RNA of Bacillus rossius redtenbacheri, 594 nucleotides long. RefSeq lists it as uncharacterized. Lineage: Eukaryota; Metazoa; Arthropoda; Insecta; Phasmatodea; Bacillidae. The record is from RefSeq and is a predicted model, not a curated record. The transcript has 2 exons.